This 234-nucleotide ribosomal RNA is filed under the name uncultured bacterium. RNAcentral describes it as "partial 16S ribosomal RNA". It matches the Rfam family "Bacterial small subunit ribosomal RNA", at positions 89 to 334 of the family's 1533-position model. The record is from RNAcentral.
AGUACAGUGGCGUACGGGUGAGUAACACGUGGGGAGUCUACCUUCGGGUGGGGGAGUAAACUCUGGGAAACCGGAAGCUAAUACCGCAUAAGCAGGGAACUGGAAAGCCGAAAGGCGCCGGAAGAGGAGCCCGCGGCCGAUUAGCUAGUUGGUGAGGUAACGGCUCACCAAGGCAAUGAUCGGUAGCUGGUCUGAGAGGAUGAUCAGCCACACUGGAACUGAGACACGGUCCAG